AUCCUGACUGUGCAAAGGUAGCAUAAUAAUUANUCUUUUAAUUGAAGGCUGGAAUGAAUGAAUAUAUGAGGGAUUAGUUUUAUUUUAUAUAUUAUUAUAAUUUGAUUNNUAAGUAAAAAAGCUUAAUUUUUUUUUUGGGACGAUAANACCCUAUAGAACUUUAUUUUUUUCUAUUGUUUAUAAUUUUUAGUUUUUAUUAUUAUUUAUUUANAUAAAUNUUUUGCUGGGGAGGUAAAUAAAUUNNACUUUAUUUUUUCNAUUCAUUGUUUUAUGAUUAUUUUGAUCCAUUGUAUGAUUAUAAGAUUAAGUUACCUUAGGGAUAACAGCGUAAUUUUGAUGGGGAGUUCAUAUUUAUAUCAAAGUUUGCGACCUCGAUGUUGAAUUAAGAUAAGAUUAGGGGGCAA
RNAcentral lists this ribosomal RNA (404 nucleotides) under Tapajosa rubromarginata. Its description in RNAcentral is "partial large subunit ribosomal RNA". Lineage: Eukaryota; Metazoa; Arthropoda; Insecta; Hemiptera; Cicadellidae. The record is from RNAcentral.